This is a long non-coding RNA of Ceratina calcarata, 154 nucleotides long. RefSeq lists it as uncharacterized. NCBI's taxonomy places the organism in Eukaryota, Metazoa, Arthropoda, Insecta, Hymenoptera, Apidae. The record is from RefSeq and is a predicted model, not a curated record. The transcript is spliced from 2 exons.
AUGUAGGGUUGUCAGAAUAAAGGUUAAUGUGUGCAAUCACACCAGAGGUGUUAAACAUUUUUUGUUAUAUAGUAGAAAAAAGCUAGGUUUCGAAAAUAACGUGAAAUGCAAGGAACGACAGAAAUGAAAGUCGAGAAUAGAUCGAAAGUAAAAA